GAACUUUCCAGAGAUGGAUUGGUGCCUUCGGGAACUUAGAUACAGGUGCUGCAUGGCUGUCGUCAGCUCGUGUCGUGAGAUGUUGGGUUAAGUCCCGNAACGAGCGCAACCCUUUUCCUUAUUUGCCAGCGGGUCAUGCCGGGAACUUUAAGGAUACUGCCAGUGACAAACUGGAGGAAGGCGGGGACGACGUCAAGUCAUCAUGGCCCUUACGGCCAGGGCUACACACGUGCUACAAUGGUCGGUACAAAGGGUUGCUACCUCGCGAGAGGAUGCUAAUCUCAAAAAGCCGAUCGUAGUCCGGAUCGCAGUCUGCAACUCGACUGCGUGAAGUCGGAAUCGCUAGUAAUCGCGGAUCAGAAUGCCGCGGUGAAUACGUUCCCGGGCCUUGUACACACCGCCCGUCACACCAUGGGUAGUUUGUUGCACCAGAAGUAGGUAGUCUAACCGCAAGGAGGACGCUUACCACGGUGUGGCCGAUGACUGGGGUGAAGUCGUAACAAGGUAAGCGUAGAUGA
RNAcentral lists this ribosomal RNA (518 nucleotides) under uncultured bacterium. RNAcentral's name for it is "bacterial SSU rRNA". It matches the Rfam family "Bacterial small subunit ribosomal RNA", at positions 993 to 1509 of the family's 1533-position model. The record is from RNAcentral.